This 938-nucleotide long non-coding RNA is filed under the name Gossypium barbadense (sea-island cotton). RNAcentral's name for it is "long non-coding RNA (GBAR_LNC020775)". Lineage: Eukaryota; Viridiplantae; Streptophyta; Magnoliopsida; Malvales; Malvaceae. The record is from RNAcentral.
GUGACUCCAAAAAUUAGGAUUCAAGUUUGUUGUCAUCUAUCCCUCAAUUUGUAAUAUGCACAAAAAAAUAUAAAAUAAAUUCCAAUGAUACAAUGACAGAUAAAGGCUGAAACUCUAAAUUUAAGUUAUUUGGUAAUGUAUUAUAUUAUAUUUGUAAUACCCUAUUUUGGUCCGGGUUUAAAGGACCCGAUUUACAAUCGGCCUAUAUGGCCCAAGUCUAAACAAAACAGAGGCCCGAAUCAAACCCUAGCCCAAAUCAAAGCUCAGGGAGUAGAUGGAACCCUAGGGCGCGCCGCAGCCGCAAGUCUCACACCCUUCGCACGAGCCGCCUUCUCGAAUCUUCAUCUGCACAUCAAAACAAAAAAAAAAGAAGAAGAAGAAAUAAACAGAUAUGGAAAGAAAUUGAAGAUUUGCAAAUCAAAUCAAAGAUUUGUUUCUUUAUGUUGUUAAUACUUCAGUUAUAAAAGAGCCAUUCAUGUAUUGUAACAGGAGAUUCGAAAAUCAAAUAAAAACAAAGCCUUUUAUUUUCGCAAUACAGAGAGCAUAAUCGAUUAAAGGUGGAUACUUGUUGUUCUAUAUUAUUUUUCUGUUAUAUGUAUUUAUUUUUAUCAUUUACAUACAUAUAAAUAAUAUAAGUACAAAAAGGAAAGAAAUAACCUAGGUUUUAAGCCCUGAUCGCCGUGAACAGCCGAGGAACCGUCUCUGAGGAAAGACGGUCAGAAAUCGAAAGGUUUCUUGGGCUUUUGAGGUGCUUCUUCGAAUCUUUUGAAGGUUUUGAGCCCGAAUUUGCGUUUAGGGGCUUCAGAGAAGACCGGAUCUGAGAUUCUCCCUUUUUCGGCCACCGUAUACGGCGGUGCCGGCGCCGGAGAUCAACGGCCGGUGCGGUGGCCGAUGACCAGGCCUUAAGCCGGUGCCCGGAGGAGAGGGGGAAGGUUGAG